UACGGAGGGUGCAAGCAUUAAUCGGAAUUAUUGGGCGUAAAGGGCGCGUAGGCGGAUGGGAAAGUCAGAUGUGAAAUUCCGAAGCUCAACUUCGGAGCUGCAUUUGAAACUUCCGAUCUUGAGGAAUGGCGGAGAAAAUGGAAUUCCACGUGUAGCGGUGAAAUGCGUAGAUAUGUGGAAGAACACCUGUGGCGAAAGCGGUUUUCUAGCUUAAUCCUGACGCUGAGGCGCGAGAGCAAGGGGAGCAAACAGG
This 253-nucleotide ribosomal RNA is filed under the name uncultured bacterium. RNAcentral describes it as "partial 16S ribosomal RNA". It matches the Rfam family "Bacterial small subunit ribosomal RNA", at positions 524 to 776 of the family's 1533-position model. The record is from RNAcentral.